CGCGUAGGCGGUUUCGGAAGUCAAGGGUGAAAGCCCCGAGCUCAACUCGGGAAUUGCCUUUGAAACCACGGAACUAGAGUGUUGGAGAGGAAAGCGGAAUUUCCAGUGUAGCGGUGAAAUGCGUAGAUAUUGGAAGGAACAUCUGAGGCGAAGGCGGCUUUCUGGACAGACACUGACGCUGAGGCGCGAAAGCCAGGGGAGCGGAACG
RNAcentral lists this ribosomal RNA (208 nucleotides) under uncultured bacterium. RNAcentral's name for it is "partial 16S ribosomal RNA". It matches the Rfam family "Bacterial small subunit ribosomal RNA", at positions 568 to 775 of the family's 1533-position model. The record is from RNAcentral.